AUGGGAGACCGGGUUCUCUUUUGGCGAGACCGAUGGAUACAUGGAUUUGCCGUAGCUGAUGUCGCUCCUUUGUUGCAAGACACCGUGCAGCCGAGGGUGGCAAAUACAAGGACUGUGCAACAGGCGCUGACCAAUGGUAGAUGGCAAGGGGACUGUCAGGUUACUUCCUUCAUGGCGCAAUUGCAGUUUGUGCAUCUUUGCCAUGCGAUCACAACGGUGGAGAGAAAUCAGGACCAAGAGGACGGGUUCACCUGGACUUGCACGGCUACGGGUCAGUACUCUGCUCGCGCUAUCUAUGCCAGCUUAUGCUCUGGACUGCCAAGAUCGCCUAUGAGCGCGUGUGUGUGGAGGAGCUGGGCCCCGCUUAAGUGCAAGAUUUUCGCUUGGCUAGCGAUGCAGUAUAGGCUCUGGACUUCCGACCGCCGCGCAAGACACGGCCUGCAGGAUGAGCCAUCAGCUUGCUACACGUGUUUGCAAGAUGAGGACAACGUAGAUCACAUUCUGUCGACAUGCGGAUAUGCGCGUGAGGUUUGGUUCCUCAUUUGCGACACGCUCCACAUCAACGUGCAGGACCGUCUACCUGAUGAUACGACCCUUGAAUGA
Molecule: ribosomal RNA, 603 nt
Filed under: Triticum aestivum (bread wheat)
Lineage: Eukaryota; Viridiplantae; Streptophyta; Magnoliopsida; Poales; Poaceae
Description: partial small subunit ribosomal RNA
Source: RNAcentral